This 292-nucleotide ribosomal RNA is filed under the name uncultured bacterium. Its description in RNAcentral is "partial 16S ribosomal RNA". It matches the Rfam family "Bacterial small subunit ribosomal RNA", at positions 505 to 796 of the family's 1533-position model. The record is from RNAcentral.
GUGUCAGCAGCCGCGGUAAUACAGAGGUCCCAAGCGUUGUUCGGAUUCACUGGGCGUAAAGGGUGCGUAGGUGGUCGGGUAAGUCUGAUGUGAAAUCUCGGAGCUCAACUCCGAAACGGCAUUGGAUACUAUUCGGCUUGAGGGUUGGAGGGGGGACUGGAAUUCUCGGUGUAGCAGUGAAAUGCGUAGAUAUCGAGAGGAACACCAGUGGCGAAGGCGAGUCCCUGGACAACUCCUGACACUAAGGCACGAAAGCUAGGGGAGCAAACAGGAUUAGAAACCCGCGUAGUCC